GUGGGAGCGAGCCUGCUCGCGAAUACGGUAUGUCAGACACAUUGAUGUUGCUGAUACACCGCUUUCGCGAGCAGGCUCGCUCCCAC
Molecule: unclassified non-coding RNA, 86 nt
Filed under: Pseudomonas helmanticensis
Lineage: Bacteria; Pseudomonadati; Pseudomonadota; Gammaproteobacteria; Pseudomonadales; Pseudomonadaceae
Source: RNAcentral